This 460-nucleotide ribosomal RNA is filed under the name uncultured bacterium. RNAcentral's name for it is "partial 16S ribosomal RNA". It matches the Rfam family "Bacterial small subunit ribosomal RNA", at positions 338 to 795 of the family's 1533-position model. The record is from RNAcentral.
CCUACGGGAGGCAGCAGUGAGGAAUAUUGGUCAAUGGGCGGAAGCCUGAACCAGCCAAGUAGCGUGCAGGAUGACGGCCCUACGGGUUGUCAACUGCUUUUAUACGGGAAUAACGCGCCUUACGUGUAGGGCUUUGCAUGUACCGUAUGAAUAAGGCACGGCUAAUUCCGUGCCAGCAGCCGCGGUAAUACGGAAGGUCCGGGCGUUAUCCGGAUUUAUUGGGUUUAAAGGGAGCGUAGGCCGCGUGUCAAGCGAGCUGUGAAAUGUCCGGGCUCAACCCGGGCCUUGAAGUGCGAACUGGCGUGCUUGAGUGCGCGGAAAGCAGGCGGAAUUCGUCGUGUAGCGGUGAAAUGCUUAGAUAUGACGAAGAACCCCGAUUGCGAAGGCAGCUUGCUGCAGCGGAACUGACGCUGAUGCUCGAAAGCGCGGGUAUCGAACAGGAUUAGAUACCCCAGUAGUC